GACGAACGCUGGCGGCGUGCUUAACACAUGCAAGUCGAACGGAAAGGCCCUGCUUUUGUGGGGUGCUCGAGUGGCGAACGGGUGAGUAACACGUGAGUAACCUGCCCUUGACUUUGGGAUAACUUCAGGAAACUGGGGCUAAUAUCGGAUAGGAGCUCCUGCUGCAUGGUGGUGGUUGGAAAGUUUCGGCGGUUGGGGAUGGACUCGCGGCUUAUGCGCUUGUUGGUGGGGUAGUGGCUUACCAAGGCUUUGACGGGUAGCCGGCCUGGGAGGGUGAACGGCCACAUGGGGACUGAGAGACGGCCCAGACGCCUACGGGAGGCAGCAGUGGGGAAUAUUGCACAAUGGGCGGAAGCCUGAUGCAGCAACGCCGGGUGCGGGAUGACGGCCUUCGGGUUGUAAACCGCUUUCGCCGGUGACGAAGCGGGAGUGACGGUAAUGGGUAAAGAAGCACCGGCUAACUACGUG
Molecule: ribosomal RNA, 468 nt
Filed under: uncultured bacterium
Lineage: Bacteria
Description: partial 16S ribosomal RNA
Rfam family: Bacterial small subunit ribosomal RNA
Source: RNAcentral